RNAcentral lists this ribosomal RNA (366 nucleotides) under uncultured bacterium. RNAcentral describes it as "bacterial SSU rRNA". It matches the Rfam family "Bacterial small subunit ribosomal RNA", at positions 552 to 916 of the family's 1533-position model. The record is from RNAcentral.
CAUUGGGCGUAAAGGGCGCGUAGGCGGCCUCUUAAGUCAGAUGUGAAAGCCCCCGGCUCAACCCAGGAAGUGCAUUUGAAACUGCCCGACUUGAGUAUGGGAGAGGGUAGUGGAAUUCCUGGUGUAGGGGUGAAAUGCGUAGAUAUCAGGAGGAACACCGGUGGCGAAGGCGGCUUCCUGGACCAAUACUGACGCUGAGGCGCGAAAGCGUGGGGAGCAAACAGGAUUAGAUACCCUGGUAGUCCACGCAGUAAACGGUGAACACUAGGUGUCGGGGGUAUUGACCCCUGCGGUGCCGAAGCUAACGCAUUAUGUGCCCCGCCGGGGGAGUACGGCCGCAGGGUUAAAACUCAAAGGAAUUGACGG